RNAcentral lists this ribosomal RNA (429 nucleotides) under Bacteroidota bacterium. Its description in RNAcentral is "Bacteroidetes bacterium partial 16S ribosomal RNA". It matches the Rfam family "Bacterial small subunit ribosomal RNA", at positions 355 to 776 of the family's 1533-position model. The record is from RNAcentral. Lineage: Bacteria; Pseudomonadati; Bacteroidota.
UAGGGAAUCUUCCGCAAUGGACGCAAGUCUGACGGAGCAACGCCGCGUGAGUGAAGAAGGAUUUCGGUUCGUAAAACUCUGUUGUUAGAGAAGAACAGCGCAUAGAGUAACUGUUAUGCGUGUGACGGUAUCUAACCAGAAAGCCACGGCUAACUACGUGCCAGCAGCCGCGGUAAUACGUAGGUGGCAAGCGUUGUCCGGAUUUAUUGGGCGUAAAGCGAGCGCAGGCGGUCAAUUAAGUCUGAUGUGAAAGCCCCCGGCUCAACCGGGGAGGGUCAUUGGAAACUGUUUAACUUGAGUGCAGAAGGGGAGAGUGGAAUUCCAUGUGUAGCGGUGAAAUGCGUAGAUAUAUGGAGGAACACCGGUGGCGAAAGCGGCUCUCUGGUCUGUAACUGACGCUGAGGUUCGAAAGCGUGGGUAGCAAACAGG